Molecule: ribosomal RNA, 494 nt
Filed under: uncultured bacterium
Lineage: Bacteria
Description: partial 16S ribosomal RNA
Rfam family: Bacterial small subunit ribosomal RNA
Source: RNAcentral
GACGAACGCUGGCGGCGCGCUUAACACAUGCCAGUCGAACGGAAAGGCCUGCUUUCCCUUGUGGAUUGCGGGUACUCGAGUGGCGAACGGGUGAGUAACACGUGAGUGAUCUGCCCCCAACUUGGGUAUAAGCCUGGGAAGCUGGGUCUAAUUCCCGAUAGGACUGCAGGGUGGUGCCUGUGGUGGAAAACGAUUUUCUAGUGGUUGGGGAUGAGCUCGCGGCCUAUCAGCUUGUUGGUGGGGUAAUGGCCUACCAAGGCGGCGACGGGUAGCCGGCCUGGGAGGGUGGACGGCCGCAUGGGGACUGAGAGACGGCCCGGAGCACUAGGGGGGGAGGGAGGGGGGAAUGUGCAACACGGGGGGGAGCCCUGAGGCGGCGCGCCCGCGGGGGGGAUGCCGCCGUUGGGUUGGUAACCUCCUUUCGCCGGGGAGGAACCCCCUGGGUUGGAGGGGUGGUGAGGGUAGUGAAAAAAGAAGCCCCGGCAAACUAGGUG